Long non-coding RNA from Diabrotica virgifera virgifera (western corn rootworm), 1145 nucleotides. RefSeq lists it as uncharacterized. The transcript is spliced from 4 exons. The record is from RefSeq and is a predicted model, not a curated record. Lineage: Eukaryota; Metazoa; Arthropoda; Insecta; Coleoptera; Chrysomelidae.
CGCCACGCACGGCGAGCUAAGCUAUAAUAUAUAUUUCAGAUUUCGGAUUUAUUCGCGCUGCAUGUCUCUUUGACUUUUGUUGGUGGAGACAAGAGACAGUUGACAAUUCCUGACUGUAAAUUGUCAGAUUUUUGGUUUGAUUGUUGUUUUUUUGCCAAAAACUUUUUGGUUAACUUAUUACUUAUUUAUUUUUAGAGGUGAUAAUACAUAUUUUUAUAUAAAUAUAACUAAAUCUUACAUUUUUUUAGUGGUAAAAAUAAGAUAAAAAAAUGAGUGAUCAUUUUACAUCCAUCCAGCGAUGAGAAUUUAGAAGGAAUUGACACUUAGGGAGUACCAAAAAAUUUAGAUUAUUUUGAGGAAACUGUGCCUUUGUUCAAUGGCGAUAAGUAUGUCCUGGAACAUUUUGGCAUCAUCAGAGUAAAAGUAGUAGAGAUGUUACAGGUUCAUUCAACACAUCCAAAAGUUGUUUACACAAAAUAGUAAGGAGAAUCACUUUUUUAUCUGCUGAAUACGUUCGUUGGCCAAAUGAGUAAAUGACAAUGAAAAACAGACUAUUUAAAGAUAUUUUCGUUAUUGCAAUUUCCCAGGGGGCUUAUGUGAAAAUCGAUAAACCAAAGGAAGAUCCAGAUUCAUAUUAAAAUAGGAACAAAAAUAUUCAAUACAGGCACAAAUGGUUUAUGGUCACGAGAAAAUGAUCAGGGAUAUAUUUGUUGUAUAUCCAGGUUCUGUACACUAUAGCAGAGUUUUAAGGAGAUCCAAUUUGUUUGCAGCUCUUCCACAAAGAUGUGGUGAAUACUAUAUUUUAGGUGAUAGUGAAUACACAUGUUUAAACAUUUUUUGACUCCAGUUAAAGACAAGGGUCAUUUAACAAGACAGUAAAGAAAUUAUAAUUAUUGUUCAAAAAUACAUAUGGGAUAGAGCAUUGUUUUGGAUUUCUCAAACAAAGAUUUAUAGGCAGCUGUAUCACCAUCCAUUAAGAAAUAUUAGAGAUAUAGUCCCAUUUAUAAGGGCUAGUGCAGUGUUACAUAACUUAGCAAUUGAUGAUAAUUUGCCCAUCAAUUGAAUGUUGAUGCACCUCAUCUUCUCAUUACCAACAAAUAUGAAAUUGAUGCUGUAUAUAGGUGGUCUUACAAAAAGAAAUUCAU